RNAcentral lists this ribosomal RNA (1065 nucleotides) under uncultured bacterium. RNAcentral describes it as "bacterial SSU rRNA". It matches the Rfam family "Bacterial small subunit ribosomal RNA", at positions 28 to 1080 of the family's 1533-position model. The record is from RNAcentral.
AUUGAACGCUGGCGGCAUGCUUUACACAUGCAAGUCGAACGGCAGCACAGAGAAGCUUGCUUCUUGGGUGGCGAGUGGCGAACGGGUGAGUAAUAUAUCGGAACGUACCGAGUAAUGGGGGAUAACUAAUCGAAAGAUUAGCUAAUACCGCAUAUUCUCUGAGGAGGAAAGCAGGGGACCUUCGGGCCUUGCGUUAUUCGAGCGGCCGAUAUCUGAUUAGCUAGUUGGUGGGGUAAAGGCCUACCAAGGCGACGAUCAGUAGCGGGUCUGAGAGGAUGAUCCGCCACACUGGGACUGAGACACGGCCCAGACUCCUACGGGAGGCAGCAGUGAGGAAUUUUGGACAAUGGGCGCAAGCCUGAUCCAGCCAUGCCGCGUGUCUGAAGAAGGCCUUCGGGUUGUAAAGGACUUUUGUCAGGGAAGAAAAGGCUGUUGCUAAUAUCGACAGCUGAUGACGGUACCUGAAGAAUAAGCACCGGCUAACUACGUGCCAGCAGCCGCGGUAAUACGUAGGGUCGCGAGCGUUAAUCGGAAUUACUGGGCGUAAAGCGAGCGCAGACGGUUACUUAAGCAGGAUGUGAAAUCCCCGGGCUCAACCUGGGAACUGCGUUCUGAACUGGGUGACUAGAGUGUGUCAGAGGGAGGUAGAAUUCCACGUGUAGCAGUGAAAUGCGUAGAGAUGUGGAGGAAUACCGAUGGCGAAGGCAGCCUCCUGGGAUAACACUGACGUUCAUGCUCGAAAGCGUGGGUAGCAAACAGGAUUAGAUACCCUGGUAGUCCACGCCCUAAACGAUGUCAAUUAGCUGUUGGGCAACUUGAUUGCUUAGUAGCGUAGCUAACGCGUGAAAUUGACCGCCUGGGGAGUACGGUCGCAAGAUUAAAACUCAAAGGAAUUGACGGGGACCCGCACAAGCGGUGGAUGAUGUGGAUUAAUUCGAUGCAACGCGAAGAACCUUACCUGGUCUUGACAUGUACGGAAUCCUCCAGAGACGGAGGAGUGCCUUCGGGAGCCGUAACACAGGUGCUGCAUGGCUGUCGUCAAGCUCGUGUCGUGAGAUGUGGGUU